UGUGGAGGAGCCUGGGGAGAAGCGUCCUGGGGUGCCAAAUCCUGGUGUGCUUAACUGAAAAGUUAAGGGCAGCGGGAAAGAGCAGCCACAGGAGCGAGUGCUGCACUCGGGAGCUGGGCAGCAGCCAGGCUGCCCUGGAGCCUCGCACGAUCACCCACGCCCUCUGCGAGGUGGUGUCAGUGCUGCAGAGGAAGACACUGGUCCAGCGCCUGCUUCCCUACCUGCUUCCCGGCCUUCUGAGGCAGGUCAGCGAGACGCUGGGGGAGGAGCUGGCACCGUCCGUUGGGGACCUGGAGAGCGCUGACAUGCCGGGCAGCCUUUUUGUGGCGGCAUUGGAGCUGGUGCUGGCGAGGUGCCUGGACAAUCGGUGGCUGCGGCUGCUCCGGGAGCAGGGAGCGUGGG
Dromaius novaehollandiae (emu) is the source of this 402-nucleotide long non-coding RNA. RefSeq lists it as uncharacterized. The record is from RefSeq and is a predicted model, not a curated record. The transcript has 3 exons. Lineage: Eukaryota; Metazoa; Chordata; Aves; Casuariiformes; Dromaiidae.